RNAcentral lists this ribosomal RNA (477 nucleotides) under uncultured bacterium. RNAcentral describes it as "bacterial SSU rRNA". It matches the Rfam family "Bacterial small subunit ribosomal RNA", at positions 104 to 580 of the family's 1533-position model. The record is from RNAcentral.
GGGUGCGUAACGCGUAUGUAACCUACCCUGAACUGGGGAAUAACACUGAGAAAUCGGUACUAAUACCCCAUAAUACACUGGAAGGCAUCUUUUGGUGUUGAAAGCUCCGGCGGUUCAAGAUGGACAUGCGUUGUAUUAGUUAGUUGGUGAGGUAACGGCUCACCAAGGCGACGAUACAUAGGGGGACUGAGAGGUUAACCCCCCACAUUGGUACUGAGACACGGGCCAAACUCCUACGGGAGGCAGCAGUGAGGAAUAUUGGUCAAUGGACGCAAGUCUGAACCAGCCAUGCCGCGUGCAGGAAGACGGCUCUAUGAGUUGUAAACUGCUUUUGUACGAGGGUAAACUCGGAUACGUGUAUCCGACUGAAAGUAUCGUACGAAUAAGGAUCGGCUAACUCCGUGCCAGCAGCCGCGGUAAUACGGAGGAUCCAAGCGUUAUCCGGAUUUAUUGGGUUUAAAGGGUGCGUAGGCGGUU